Molecule: ribosomal RNA, 254 nt
Filed under: uncultured bacterium
Lineage: Bacteria
Description: partial 16S ribosomal RNA
Rfam family: Bacterial small subunit ribosomal RNA
Source: RNAcentral
UACGGAGGGUGCAAGCGUUAUCCGGAAUCACUGGGUUUAAAGGGUGCGUAGGCGGUAGAAUAAGUCAGUCGUGAAAUCGCUGGGCUUAACCCAUGCAACUGCGAUUGAUACUGUUUUACUUGAAUGAGGUUGAGGUAGGCGGAAUGUGGCAUGUAGCGGUGAAAUGCUUAGAUAUGCCAUAGAACACCGAUUGCGAAGGCAGCUUGCUGGACCUGAAUUGACGCUGAGGCACGAAAGCGUGGGUAGCAAACAGG